GGGCGAUUAGCUCAGGGGUAGAGCACCUCCCUUACAAGGAGGGGGUCGCUGGUUCGAACCCAGCAUCGCCCACUA
This 75-nucleotide transfer RNA is filed under the name uncultured Rubrobacteraceae bacterium. RNAcentral's name for it is "tRNA-Val-TAC". It matches the Rfam family "tRNA". From Rfam's summary of the family: Transfer RNA (tRNA) molecules are approximately 80 nucleotides in length. Lineage: Bacteria; Bacillati; Actinomycetota; Rubrobacteria; Rubrobacterales; Rubrobacteraceae. The record is from RNAcentral.